UGAUCCAACUAAUAGAUCUCUAGAUAUCAUAAAAAUCAUACCCAACCUCAAACUGCUAACUUCCAAAACCCUCUUGUGCUAAAAACCAAAUAUCUCUAAACCAUGUUGUUAGAUUAUCACAAAAUUUUGUGUACACCUAGGAAACCAAAUAAUCCAAACAGUCUCAAAUUUUCAACUAUAGAUGUUACACAAAUUUCAUAAACUAGCCAAAAUUGCUAGCCCUAAUUAUAUUAUAUAAAACCCAAAUCACCAAUACAAACCCUGACUUUGAAUAAUAAUUGCUAAAUCCUCCAAAAUCCUUCAAAAUUAAUCCUUAUGCCUUUGAAAUGAACUUCAAGCUAGCUCUCAA
RNAcentral lists this long non-coding RNA (349 nucleotides) under Physcomitrium patens. Its description in RNAcentral is "long non-coding RNA (PPAT_LNC005404)". Lineage: Eukaryota; Viridiplantae; Streptophyta; Bryopsida; Funariales; Funariaceae. The record is from RNAcentral.